ACGAACGCUGGCGGCGUGCUUAACACAUGCAAGUCGAACGGUGAAGGGGUCUGCUUUUGUGGGCCCUGGAUGAGUGGCGAACGGGUGAGUAACACGUGAGUAACCUGCCCCCUUCUUCUGGAUAACCGCAUGAAAGUGUGGCUAAUACGGGAUAUUCUGGGUCUGUCGCAUGAUGGGUCUGGGAAAGAUUGCGCCUUUGGGUGUUUUUGGUGGGGGAUGGGCUCGCGGCCUAUCAGCUUGUUGGUGGGGUGAUGGCCUACCAAGGCGGUGACGGGUAGCCGUCCUGAGAGUGUGGACGGUCACACGGGGACUGAGACACGGCCCAGACUCCUACGGGAGGGAGCAGUGGGGAAUAUAGCACAAUGGGCGCAAGCCUGAUGCAGCGACGCCGCGUGAGGGAAGGAGGCCUUCGGGUUGUAAACCUCUUUCGCCAGUGAAGCAGGCCUGCUCCUUGUGGGUGGGUUGACGGUAGCUGGAUAAGAAGCGCCGGCUAACUACGUG
RNAcentral lists this ribosomal RNA (501 nucleotides) under uncultured bacterium. RNAcentral describes it as "partial 16S ribosomal RNA". It matches the Rfam family "Bacterial small subunit ribosomal RNA", at positions 29 to 507 of the family's 1533-position model. The record is from RNAcentral.